CUGCUGAAGCUGUCAUGUCUAAGAAGAAAACUUUGGAGAAAAAUUUUCUUCUUAGACAUGGCAGCGUCAACAG
This is a non-coding RNA of Papio anubis (olive baboon), 73 nucleotides long. NCBI's taxonomy places the organism in Eukaryota, Metazoa, Chordata, Mammalia, Primates, Cercopithecidae. The record is from Rfam.